This 394-nucleotide ribosomal RNA is filed under the name uncultured Anaeromyxobacter sp. RNAcentral describes it as "bacterial SSU rRNA". It matches the Rfam family "Bacterial small subunit ribosomal RNA", at positions 67 to 447 of the family's 1533-position model. The record is from RNAcentral. Lineage: Bacteria; Pseudomonadati; Myxococcota; Myxococcia; Myxococcales; Anaeromyxobacteraceae.
CGAGAAAGCCCGCAAGGGUGAGUACAGCGGCGCACGGGUGCGUAACACGUGGGUAAUCUGCCCUGAAGCCCGGAAUAACCUCCCGAAAGGGAAGCUAAUGCCGGAUGAGCCCACGGGGUCCUUGGACCCUGAGGGAAAAGGUGGCCUCUGCAUGCAAGCUAUCACUUCAGGAUGAGCCCGCGGCCCAUCAGCUCGUUGGCGGGGUAAUGGCCCACCAAGGCUACGACGGGUAGCUGGUCUGAGAGGACGAUCAGCCACACUGGAACUGAGACACGGUCCAGACUCCUACGGGAGGCAGCAGUGGGGAAUCUUGCGCAAUGGGCGAAAGCCUGACGCAGCAACGCCGCGUGUGUGAUGAAGGUCUUCGGAUCGUAGAGCACUGUCGCGAGGGACG